This 460-nucleotide ribosomal RNA is filed under the name uncultured bacterium. RNAcentral's name for it is "partial 16S ribosomal RNA". It matches the Rfam family "Bacterial small subunit ribosomal RNA", at positions 338 to 795 of the family's 1533-position model. The record is from RNAcentral.
CCUACGGGAUGCAGCAGUGAGGAAUAUUGGUCAAUGGACGAGAGUCUGAACUAGCCAAGUAGCGUGAAGGAUGACUGCCCUAUGGGUUGUAAACUUCUUUUAUAUGGGAAUAAAACGUUCCACGUGUGGGAUUUUGUAUGUACCAUAUGAAUAAGGAUCGGCUAACUCCGUGCCAGCAGCCGCGGUAAUACGGAGGAUCCGAGCGUUAUCCGGAUUUAUUGGGUUUAAAGGGAGCGUAGGUGGAUUGUUAAGUCAGUUGUGAAAGUUUGCGGCUCAACCGUAAAAUUGCAGUUGAAACUGGCAGUCUUGAGUACAGUAGAGGUGGGCGGAAUUCGUGGUGUAGCGGUGAAAUGCUUAGAUAUCACGAAGAACUCCGAUUGCGAAGGCAGUUCACUGGACUGCAACUGACACUGAGGCUCGAAAGUGUGGGUAUCAAACAGGAUUAGAUACCCCUGUAGUC